RNAcentral lists this long non-coding RNA (402 nucleotides) under Vombatus ursinus (common wombat). RNAcentral's name for it is "lncRNA (ENSVURG00010013505.1)". The record is from RNAcentral. Lineage: Eukaryota; Metazoa; Chordata; Mammalia; Diprotodontia; Vombatidae.
GGGCAGUUCAGGCUUUGCAGAGACUGUGCUGAAGGUGCAUCUAGCUGAUAAGAAAGUUCAGUGGUCUUACAGGUGGUGGAAGAAAUUCUGGAAAGAAGAAAACAGUCACUGGAACCCAGCUAGAAUCAACUAAGAGAAGCGAUGUGAAUAAUACACAUUGACAGGUAAGGCAAAAAAAAUAACUCUACAGUUUUUGACUUUGGAUAUAUAAGCAACACCUACACAUUCACUCUUAACAUGAAUGUACAUUUCUUUGGCUGACUCUCUCUCACCUCAUGAUUUGAUCCUACUCUCCACAUCCUGAGACCUGAUGAGGACAAGAGGAGGUGGCCACUUGUAGAUACUCAACAGUUUUGAUUCACUUGUUUUGUUUUUAUCUUUACCAAUUGUUUAGCAAACGGG